Molecule: long non-coding RNA, 408 nt
Filed under: Elaeis guineensis (African oil palm)
Lineage: Eukaryota; Viridiplantae; Streptophyta; Magnoliopsida; Arecales; Arecaceae
Description: long non-coding RNA (EGUI_LNC053941)
Source: RNAcentral
UUCGACCUACGGUGUCACGACUGUUCGUAGUAAAGCUACUGUAGUUUGACUACACAUAAGUAUUGAUUUGUGUAUAAAUUUUUGUAGUGGAUGUUGGCUACAGUUGGUUGAGCUGUAGGAGUAGAGUGUACAUCUAGAUGGGAUCUAUCGACCUUGAUAGAGGGAGCAAUCCUAUGAGAUUUGAGAAGCCAAGUCUCCAAGUCUGUGGCCACAACAGUAUGAUUAAUAGAAAAAAAAAUUUAUUUAGAAUCACUAUUGGACUUGAGCUAAUUAGAUUUAUCAUAUGAUAGAUGAUGAGAUUUGAUGAUUUAUCCAUGACCUGCCAUCUAGUCGAGACUCAAGAUAGAGAAAUUGUAUCACACAUUAACUAUAUCUAGAAGUUCUUCUUCGAUUCUACUGGGUGGCCAC